GAUGAACGCUGACAGAAUGCUUAACACAUGCAAGUCGACUGGAAUUCACCUUCGGGUGAUAGUACGGUGGCGGACGGGUGAGUAACGCGUAAAGAACUUGCCCUCUAGACUGGGACAACUGUUGGAAACGACAGCUAAUACCGGAUAUUAUGAGAACCUCGCAUGGGGGACUCAUGAAAGCUAUAUGCGCUAGAGGAGAGCUUUGCGUGCCAUUAGCUAGUUGGUGGGGUAACGGCCCACCAAGGCGACGAUGGCUAGCCGGCCUGAGAGGGUGAUCGGCCACAAGGGGGACUUGAGACACGGGCCCUUACUCCUACGGAGGCAGCAGUGGGGAAUAUUGGACAAUGGACCAAAAGUCUGAUCCAGCAAUUCUGUGUGCACGAUGAAGGUUUUCGGAUCGUAAAGUGCUUUCAGCAGGGAAGAAAAAAUGAACGGUACCUGCAGAAGAAGCGACGGCUAAAUACGU
This 466-nucleotide ribosomal RNA is filed under the name uncultured bacterium. Its description in RNAcentral is "bacterial SSU rRNA". It matches the Rfam family "Bacterial small subunit ribosomal RNA", at positions 28 to 506 of the family's 1533-position model. The record is from RNAcentral.